CCGGGUAAGGCAGGCAUGGGGAAGAUUGCACAAUGGGGAAACCCUGGAUGCAGCGACGCCGCGUGAGGGAUGACGGCCUCGGGUUGUAAACCUCUUUCAGUAGGGAAGAAGCCUUUCGGGGUGACGGUACCUGCAGAAGAAGUACCGGCUAACUACGUGUCAGCAGCCGCGUCGACUUUGAUCCAGAGCAGGUUUUUGAGGUAGCAUUGCUUUGGCAGCCGGUCAGCGGCAGCAGCGAAGCAGUGACGCCGGCGCCAAUUAAAUUUGUCAUGAAGCGGCGGCGGUUGAGAAAGGCUGUUUCUGGGGUAAUUUGGGGUUCGAGAAUUUCCCAAGGUUUUGGAACGCGAAUUAAAGGCAUAAGUAAUAGUUAAAAGUUAGUAGUUAGUUGGGCGAAAUUUGCCUAAGUUUUAAUCUGUUAGUCGAUUUGAGAUUUGAGGGUUAAGAUUGACUCCAUAGAACAAAGAAUCGCGGAUAUUUGGUAAUGCGUCGCCAUUGCUUUGACAAUGCUUGGGAUCGCCCUGAAAGUAUUCGCAAUGACAGUAUAGCUUAAUUCGGUAAC
RNAcentral lists this ribosomal RNA (559 nucleotides) under uncultured bacterium. RNAcentral describes it as "partial 16S ribosomal RNA". The stretch from base 1 to 186 matches the Rfam family "Bacterial small subunit ribosomal RNA", at positions 339 to 537 of the family's 1533-position model. The record is from RNAcentral.